Molecule: long non-coding RNA, 290 nt
Filed under: Rattus norvegicus (Norway rat)
Lineage: Eukaryota; Metazoa; Chordata; Mammalia; Rodentia; Muridae
Description: long non-coding RNA NONRATT023007
Source: RNAcentral
AGGUUAUAGGACAGUCUAGCCACUGUCAGAAAUAACAGAACAAAGUAACACUAGAGAUAAUCUGAUGGCGAGAGGCAAGCGCAGGAACCCAAGCAACAGAAACCAAGACUACAUGGCAUCAUCGGAGCCCAAUUCUCCCACCAAAGCAAACACGGAAUAUCCAAACACACCAGAAAAGCAAGACCUAGUUUCAAAAUCAUAUUUGAUCAUGAUGCUGGAGGACUUCAAGAAAGACAUAAAGAACUCCCUUAGAGAACAAGUAGAAGCCUACAGAGAGGAAUCGCAAAAAU